AUUGAACGCUGGCGGCAGGCCUAACACAUGCAAGUCGAACGGUAACAGGAAGCAGCUUGCUGCUUUGCUGACGAGUGGCGGACGGGUGAGUAAUGUCUGGGAAACUGCCUGAUGGAGGGGGAUAACUACUGGAAACGGUAGCUAAUACCGCAUAACGUCGCAAGACCAAAGAGGGGGACCUUCGGGCCUCUUGCCAUCGGAUGUGCCCAGAUGGGAUUAGCUAGUAGGUGGGGUAACGGCUCACCUAGGCGACGAUCCCUAGCUGGUCUGAGAGGAUGACCAGCCAACCUGGAACUGAGACACGGUCCAGACUCCUACGGGAGGCAGCAGUGGGGAAUAUUGCACAAUGGGCGCAAGCCUGAUGCAGCCAUGCCGCGUGUAUGAAGAAGGCCUUCGGGUUGUAAAGUACUUUCAGCGGGGAGGAAGGGAGUAAAGUUAAUACCUUUGCUCAUUGACGUUACCCGCAGAAGAAGCACCGGCGAACUCCGU
Molecule: ribosomal RNA, 489 nt
Filed under: uncultured bacterium
Lineage: Bacteria
Description: partial 16S ribosomal RNA
Rfam family: Bacterial small subunit ribosomal RNA
Source: RNAcentral